AGUCGAGCGAGUCUGCCUUGAAGAUCGGAGUGCUUGCACUCUGUGAAACAAGAUACAGGCUAGCGGCGGACGGGUGAGUAACACGUGGGUAACCUGCCCAAGAGAUCGGGAUAACACCUGGAAACAGAUGCUAAUACCGGAUAACAACAGAUGAUGCCUAUCAACUGUUUAAAAGAUGGUUCUGCUAUCACUCUUGGAUGGACCUGCGGUGCAUUAGCUAGUUGGUAGGGUAACGGCCUACCAAGGCGAUGAUGCAUAGCCGAGUUGAGAGACUGAUCGGCCACAUUGGGACUGAGACACGGCCCAAACUCCUACGGGAGGCAGCAGUAGGGAAUCUUCCACAAUGGACGCAAGUCUGAUGGAGCAACGCCGCGUGAGUGAAGAAGGGUUUCGACUCGUAAAGCUCUGUUGUUGGUGAAGAAGGACAGGGGUAGUAACUGACCUUUGUUUGACGGUAAUCAAUUAGAAAGUCACGGCUAACUACGUGCCAGCAGCCGCGGUAAUACGUAGGUGGCAAGCGUUGUCCGGAUUUAUUGGGCGUAAAGCGAGUGCAGGCGGCUCGAUAAGUCUGAUGUGAAAGCCUUCGGCUCAACCGGAGAAUUGCAUCAGAAACUGUCGAGCUUGAGUACAGAAGAGGAGAGUGGAACUCCAUGUGUAGCGGUGAAAUGCGUAGAUAUAUGGAAGAACACCGGUGGCGAAGGCGGCUCUCUGGUCUGUUACUGACGCUGAGGCUCGAAAGCAUGGGUAGCGAACAGGAUUAGAUACCCUGGUAGUCCAUGCC
RNAcentral lists this ribosomal RNA (781 nucleotides) under uncultured bacterium. Its description in RNAcentral is "bacterial SSU rRNA". It matches the Rfam family "Bacterial small subunit ribosomal RNA", at positions 60 to 801 of the family's 1533-position model. The record is from RNAcentral.